UGCGUAUGAUAUCAGUAUCCUGUACGGCAAGAUAUAUAUGUUCCAUCCUAGUUGAACAUUUCCUUUUCUACUCUAAGCAUCUAUAGAAAUAUAGAUAAAUGUGGUAUGAUGCAUGAGACUAGUUAUUGUCUAUAAGGACACAUCAACUGUUCUUGUGGUAUGGUAUAUAUGUAUGAGACUUGUUAGGUUUUAGGCGGAGAUUUCUACUUGUUCUAUGUGGUAUGGUUCUUGAGACUUUUAUGUACUUAAAGACAUUUACAUUUGUAUGUGGUAUGGUAUAUAAGAAUUGGUAGCAUUUAUUAGGAGACAUCUAUUGUGGUAGGGUACAGGAGACUUGUUAAUGUGCUUUAGAAGACAUCUACUGUUUUAUUGGUAUGGUAUAUUAGACUUUUCAGUGUUCAAGGAGACUUCUAUUGUUCUGAAAGUUAUAGGUAUAAAUGGUAAUUUAAAUAAAAUUAAAUUAUAGUUUAUACAUAUUUUGAUAAUUCCCAUGAUUAAACUUCCGCUGGUUUGUUUUCUUUAAUGUUAAGGUCAGCUUGUUAGCUUGUCAGCUUGUCAGUUCUGUUUUAAUUAGAGAUUAAGGGAUAGGUAUUAUAUCAUAAAUGGGAAACAGCUUGAUGACAGCAUAGGUGUUAUCAGACAUGUAUGAGAAUCAUCUAUAUAAUUUUGAUAGGAUGGCAGUUGUCGUUUGAGCAUUGCACUGUUAGCAGUCAUAUUUUUACUUGUGGAUAAUUUAUUCAGCCCACCCACCGAAUCCCCAGCUGCACCUUUAAGAAUUUAAUAGUCUUAUUUUAGUGUUAAUUAUUUUACAUGUUUAUUUAAACAGGGGCUACUCAUAACAUAUUUGUUUUUUGUUUGUUUUAGUUUUAUGUUGUGUGUGUUGUUCUGUCAUUUAAUUUAGCCUACUUAAUUUCAGGGAAAUUAUUUUCCCCCAAUUCAUUAAUACAUUUUAUUAUUUAUUUAGGCUUUGUUUUAUUUAAGGGUGAUAAUUAAGUUAUUUUUUUUGUACCUGUUGGAAUCUACCGCAGGAAUUCUCAUUUUUCAAAUUUAUACUUGUCUGGGCUCUACCAGUCAGGUUCUAAUAGUACCUGUUGGGAUCUACCGCAGGAAUUCUCAGUUUUCAAAAUUCAUACUUGUCUGGGCUCUACCACUCAGGUUCUAAAAGUACCUGUUGGGAUCUACCGCAGGAAUUCUCAGUUUUCAAAAUUCAUACUUGUCUGGGCUCUACCACUCAGGUUCUAAAAGUACCUGUUGGGAUCUACCGCAGGAAUUCUCAGUUUUCAAAAUUCAUACUUGUGUGGGCUCUACCACUCAGGUUCUAAAAGUACCUGCUGGGAUCUACCGCAGACAUUCUCAUUUUUCAAAUUUAUACCUGUUUGGGCUCUACCAGUCAGGUUUCUUAAAUUAAUUUUUCACCUGUCAGGGCUCUACUGCAGGUUCUUAAAUUGCAUAAUUUAGACAAUUUACUUUUUAAUUUAAUUUAAAAAUAGUUUUGAGUAGGUAGUGUUUUUUCAUAUGGUUAUUUUUAUUUUUAUUGUAAGUUUUAACGAGUAGCCCC
This 1558-nucleotide long non-coding RNA is filed under the name Mytilus galloprovincialis (Mediterranean mussel). Lineage: Eukaryota; Metazoa; Mollusca; Bivalvia; Mytilida; Mytilidae. The record is from RNAcentral.